Non-coding RNA from Myotis brandtii (Brandt's bat), 76 nucleotides. Lineage: Eukaryota; Metazoa; Chordata; Mammalia; Chiroptera; Vespertilionidae. The record is from Rfam.
GGUGGUUCUUGGGUGAUGCACCCCAGAAUCAGGCUCCCUCCUCUCUGGUUUCAGGUGUGUCACCUGGAGAACUGCA